UACGUAGGCAGCGAGCGUUGUUCGGAGUUACUGGGCGUAAAGGGUGUGUAGGCGGUUGUUUAAGUUUGGUGUGAAAUCUCCCGGCUCAACUGGGAGGGUGCGCCGAAUACUGAAUGACUAGAGUGCGGGAGAGGAAAGUGGAAUUCCUGGUGUAGCGGUGAAAUGCGUAGAUAUCAGGAGGAACACCGGUGGUGUAGACGGCUUUCUGGACCAUAACUGACGCUGAGACACGAAAGCGUGGGUAGCAAACAGG
RNAcentral lists this ribosomal RNA (253 nucleotides) under uncultured bacterium. RNAcentral's name for it is "partial 16S ribosomal RNA". It matches the Rfam family "Bacterial small subunit ribosomal RNA", at positions 524 to 776 of the family's 1533-position model. The record is from RNAcentral.